RNAcentral lists this ribosomal RNA (607 nucleotides) under uncultured eukaryote. RNAcentral's name for it is "bacterial SSU rRNA". It matches the Rfam family "Eukaryotic small subunit ribosomal RNA", at positions 9 to 562 of the family's 1831-position model. The record is from RNAcentral.
UGAUCCUGCCAGUAGUCAUAUGCUUGUUUCAAGGACUAAGCCAUGCAAGUCUCAGAAUAAAUGGAUCACAGUGAGUCUGCAGACAGCUCAUUAAAUCAGCUACAAUCUACGCCGAGAAACUGCCUUAUGGCAGACUAUUGGAUAACUUUGGUAACCCCAAAGCUAAUACAUGUCAGCAAGACCCGCACAGAUUCCACCCUGGGGCUUCGGUUCCGGGGCUGUGUUGGGUGCAAUUGACCGAAUCAAAAACCAACGCUAGCAAUAGCAGCGGUGAUUGGAUGACUCAGGUUAAUCGAGUAGUAGCGCAUACUUCGGUGGCGCUAGUCGGCAUGAGCAUCUGCCCUAUCAGCUUUUGACGGUAGUGUAGUGGACUACCGUGGCAUUUACGGUUAACGGGGAAUUAGGGUUCGAUUCCGGGAGAGGGGAGCCUGAGAAACGGGCUACCACAACUAAGGUUGGCAGCAGGCGCGCAAAUUGCCCAAUAGCAACACAUCGCUGAGGCAGCGAAGAGAAAAUAGCAACUUCAUGUGCCCUGCCAUGUGAAGAUUGCCAUGGACGAUAUCUAAAACCCUGUCGGUGAGUAUCGAAAUUGGUGGGCUAAAGGUCU